Long non-coding RNA from Cucurbita moschata (crookneck pumpkin), 304 nucleotides. RefSeq lists it as uncharacterized. The transcript has 5 exons. Lineage: Eukaryota; Viridiplantae; Streptophyta; Magnoliopsida; Cucurbitales; Cucurbitaceae. The record is from RefSeq and is a predicted model, not a curated record.
AAUGACCUCCCUUUCAAUCAUUCAAAUCACUCCUCUCAAUCUCACUUAAUUUUUGUUGUCACCAACAACUGGUAUCAGAGCGAUCUUGUAGCAGCAAGAAUGGCAGCAGAAAAACAAGUUGAGAGCUACGUUCAGCCCGCCAUCCCGAGGUUCGAUGGUCACUAUGAUCAUUGGGCGAUGUUGAUGGAAAAUUUUCUCAGAUCAAAGGAGUUUUUUGAUAUGGUGGAGACGGGUUAUGAAGAGCCAAAUGAAGGCGAGGUGCUCUCAGCUGGUGGUGAUCACUGAAAAAUAUUUUCAUGAUAAG